UACUGGCGUGGGCUUUUUAUAGACCUCCUUGCCGGUUUGCUCGACUUGAACGCUAUAGGGCGUGCCUUGGUACGUGCUGCUGCAUGUCUGUCGUUUAACUCGGUGCCGUUGGUGGACGUACUGACGGUGUCUAGAAGGGGCCGGACACGAUACGUGUGAGUUUAGUACCCGUACCGGAGACGAGGAGCGAUGAGACGGGUUGGGUUGCCUCGAAGGUCACUCGUCCUGCCGUAGGGGCAGCAGCUGAACCGGCAGGAGGAGUUGCCGCUGCGGCCGCUUGCCAGCGUCCGCUAGGCCGUGGAGCCGGCCCGCACGGUUCUGACCCCGAAGAAGUACCACUGGUUGGUACCCCACGUGCUCCGAGAGGUCUCGCGCGAGUACCUGCGCACGUUCCUCGACAAGCCGGAUGGUGGCCUCGUUUUCCGCCUCAAGUACCUGCGGCCGGGCUACCUGGGGCAGGCGCAGCCGUGCCCGAAGUUGAGGCGGCAGCUACCGCGGUCCAUGACCGCCCUGAUGCAGUUCUACAAGCGCGUGGGGCUCGAGGUGACGGGGCGGUUCGGGCUGUGGGACGCCCCGCACCGGUGCCUCAUGCGCCGCGCGUGGUCCCCGGACGACGACCUCGAGUGCCGCCGGUAGAGGCUCUCGGACCCCGAGCUUCCGCCGGCGUAGCGACUCGCGGAGCUGGACCCCAGGACGAAGGUCUAGGAGCAGCCGUUGGUAAUGGGUGGAUCGCCACCGGGGCUGCUGCUACCCCGUCAGCCCGACGGCCGAGUGAGACUGGUGCCGGAGGAGUGAGACGAGAAGGUCUUGCCGCAGCUACCGGAGGUUCAGUUCGUGCUGCCGGCCACCGAGGAGCGUCUCGGGUAGGGGCCGCGUAAGAAGCAGUAGCGGCCGCUAGUCGACCUCCACUGGUCGGCUAGCUGAGAACAGAGAACACUAAGCACACAACGAGUAUGUGCAGCCACUUACCGUACGUCUAACACUCGUUACCUUCCAUGUUCCCACACGAGGUGGCGCGUGACCAGCUGGCGCGCGUCCGCUCCUACAACACGCACUCGGACUAGCCCGGCACGGACCUGCGGCAGCAGCUCGGUCACGGCCUCGAUCGGCACCGUGGGGACGCGGACCUCAUGUACCCGCAGCUCAUGUCCCUGAUGUACCUUGUGGUCGUCUCAUUGUUCGAGUUGCUCUUCCCUCGCGACCUGGAGCAAGCCCACGUCUGACGUCUUUGCGAACCGUUAAAAACUUUAAUGAUUUCGUACUAAGGAGUCCAAUUUUACGAGUUCAACUGGUUUUUAAGGCACAGGUAUAAACAAAAUAAAAACGUUGGCUGGCCUGGAGACCGAAAAGUAGUAAUUCUUCUUCUCUUAACUGAUCGUCAUAGUUCUCGUCGCAUGGGGAACCGGAGAGAGCGUUGACGGGUCUUUUGAGUCUAAAGAAAGAAACGGAGGGCAGCCGUGGCGGCAACUAGGCGGAGCAGGCUCCCGUAAUCCCGGUGCCUCCGCGUCACCUAGAGCCGGGAACGGAGUUCACUAUAUCUGACGUCACGGUUGUUACACGG
RNAcentral lists this ribosomal RNA (1561 nucleotides) under Triticum aestivum (bread wheat). Its description in RNAcentral is "partial small subunit ribosomal RNA". The record is from RNAcentral. Lineage: Eukaryota; Viridiplantae; Streptophyta; Magnoliopsida; Poales; Poaceae.